UACGUAGGUGGCAAGCGUUAUCCGGAUUUAUUGGGCGUAAAGAGAACGCAGGCGGUCUUUUAAGUCUGAUGUGAAAGCCUUCGGCUUAACCGGAGUAGUGCAUUGGAAACUGGGAGACUUGAGUGCAGGAGAGGAGAGUGGAAUUCCAUGUGUAGCGGUGAAAUGCGUAGAUAUAUGGAGGAACACCGGUGGCGAAAGCGGCUCUCUGGCCUGUAACUGACACUGAGGCUCGAAAGCGUGGGGAGCAAACAGG
This 253-nucleotide ribosomal RNA is filed under the name uncultured bacterium. RNAcentral describes it as "partial 16S ribosomal RNA". It matches the Rfam family "Bacterial small subunit ribosomal RNA", at positions 524 to 776 of the family's 1533-position model. The record is from RNAcentral.